RNAcentral lists this ribosomal RNA (497 nucleotides) under uncultured bacterium. RNAcentral describes it as "partial 16S ribosomal RNA". It matches the Rfam family "Bacterial small subunit ribosomal RNA", at positions 28 to 507 of the family's 1533-position model. The record is from RNAcentral.
GAUGAACGCUGGCGGCGUGCCUAAUACAUGCAAGUCGAGCGAACAGACGAGGAGCUUGCUCCUCUGACGUUAGCGGCGGACGGGUGAGUAACACGUGGAUAACCUACCUAUAAGACUGGGAUAACUUCGGGAAACCGGAGCUAAUACCGGAUAAUAUAUUGAACCGCAUGGUUCAAUAGUGAAAGACGGUUUUGCUGUCACUUAUAGAUGGAUCCGCGCUGCAUUAGCUAGUUGGUAAGGUAACGGCUUACCAAGGCGACGAUGCGUAGCCGACCUGAGAGGGUGAUCGGCCACACUGGAACUGAAACACGGUCCAGACUCCUACGGGAGGCAGCAGUAGGGAAUCUUCCGCAAUGGGCGAAAGCCUGACGGAGCAACGCCGCGUGAGUGAUGAAGGUCUUCGGAUCGUAAAACUCUGUUAUUAGGGAAGAACAAAUGUGUAAGUAACUAUGCACGUCUUGACGGUACCUAAUCAGAAAGCCACGGCUAACUACGUG